UACGGGGGGGGGAAGCGUUGUUCGGAAUUACUGGGCGUAAAGGGCUCGUAGGCGGCCAACUAAGUCAUACGUGAAAUCCCUCAGCUUAACUGGGGAACUGCGUGUGAUACUGGAUGGCUUGGAUGUGGGAGAGGGAUGCGGAAUUCCAGGUGUAGCGGUGAAAUGCGUAGAUAUUCGGAAGAACACCAGUGGCGAAGGCGGCUCACUGGACUGGUAUUGACGCUGAGGUGCGAAAGCGUGGGGAGCAAACAGG
Molecule: ribosomal RNA, 253 nt
Filed under: uncultured bacterium
Lineage: Bacteria
Description: partial 16S ribosomal RNA
Rfam family: Bacterial small subunit ribosomal RNA
Source: RNAcentral